Molecule: ribosomal RNA, 424 nt
Filed under: uncultured bacterium
Lineage: Bacteria
Description: bacterial SSU rRNA
Rfam family: Bacterial small subunit ribosomal RNA
Source: RNAcentral
GAAUCUUGCGCAAUGGGCGAAAGCCUGACGCAGCGACGCCGCGUGAGGGAGGAAGGCCUUCGGGUUGUAAACCUCUUUUCUGAGAGAAGAAGCUACUCGGGUUAAUAGCCCAGAGGGUGACGGUAUCUCAGGAAUAAGCCCCGGCUAACUACGUGCCAGCAGCCGCGGUAAUACGUAGGGGGCAAGCGUUGUCCGGAUUUACUGGGCGUAAAGAGCGUGUAGGCGGCCAUGCAGGUCCGUUGUGAAAACUGGAGGCUCAACCUCCAGACGUCGACGGAAACCGUGUGGCUAGAGUCUGGAAGAGGAGAGUGGAAUUCCUGGUGUAGCGGUGAAAUGCGCAAAUAUCAGGAAGAACACCAAUGGCGAAGGCAGCUCUCUGGGACGGUACUGACGCUGAGACGCGAAAGCGUGGGGAGCGAACAGG